GUUGGCGUAGUUACCUUUCGAAGAUACAUAGGAGACAGAGGUGCAGAGAUGCUAAUAAAUGAAGAACUGGAUUUGAACCCUGGCAGCAGACCUCUAUACAGCCUCUUCUGUUAUCCCCUUUACCAUAUAUCUUCUCUGUAUUUUCAGCAUCAUCCACAUAUACAGGGAGAAUGCCAUGAAAUUUGUUGAAGAUUGUGCCAUGCACCAUUCAGUGACACAACUUGAGCUUUCUCCAAGACUUCUGGAAAUGACAAAAACAAUCAGGGUUGAAAACCUGCCGCCUGCUCCUAUAGUUUGAAAUGUUUAUUUGAAAAUCCUCAAAGUGGAGGGGGAAGAGUUGUCAGUAUUGAAUGUUUUCCUGAAGAGAGUUCAGCUCUGAUAGAAUUUUUUAACAGAAAAGUGUUAGACACCAUCAUGUCCAAGAAGCUUGGCCUCAAUAAUAUGCCGCUCUCGGUGUUCCCAUACUAUACCUCCUUGGGCACAGCUUUGUAUGGAAAGGAGAAGCCUCUGAUCAAGCUUCCAGCACCAUUUAAAGAAUCUUUGGAUCAUUCUUUGUGGAAGUUCUUACACAAAAGGAAUCAUCUGAUUGAGGAGAUAAAUGAAGAAGUGAGACGUUCUCACUGUGAGCUAACAUGGUCCCCACUCAAUGGUGAAGUUACCAUCAGACCUGCAGCCACCUUAGUCAAUCAAGGAAGAAAAAGAAUCAAGAACUGGAAGAAAGAUGCUUCCACAGCCUUCUUUGGCAUCAGGUCUAGAUUUAAAGUUACCCCAUUUAAAGUGGACCCAGUAGUGUGGGACAUCAUGAAAAAUGACUUAGAAGAUGAAAGAAUUUUGAUUGAGUUUG
Molecule: RNA transcript, 844 nt
Organism: Myotis brandtii (Brandt's bat)
Lineage: Eukaryota; Metazoa; Chordata; Mammalia; Chiroptera; Vespertilionidae
Gene name: poly [ADP-ribose] polymerase 14-like
Exons: 4
Source: RefSeq, a predicted model, not a curated record